GGGGGUGUAGCUCAGCUGGGAGAGCGCGUGGAUCGCACCCACGAGGUCAGGGGUUCGAGCCCCCUCACCUCCACCA
RNAcentral lists this transfer RNA (76 nucleotides) under Nitrospinota bacterium. Its description in RNAcentral is "tRNA-Ala". It matches the Rfam family "tRNA". From Rfam's summary of the family: Transfer RNA (tRNA) molecules are approximately 80 nucleotides in length. Their secondary structure includes four short double-helical elements and three loops (D, anti-codon, and T loops). The record is from RNAcentral. Lineage: Bacteria; Pseudomonadati; Nitrospinota.